Molecule: ribosomal RNA, 439 nt
Filed under: uncultured bacterium
Lineage: Bacteria
Description: bacterial SSU rRNA
Rfam family: Bacterial small subunit ribosomal RNA
Source: RNAcentral
UGGGGAAUUUUGGACAAUGGGGGCAACCCUGAUCCAGCCAUGCCGCGUGCGGGAAGAAGGCCUUCGGGUUGUAAACCGCUUUUAUUCGGAAAGAAGGAGUCCGGGCUAAUACCCUGGAUGACAGACGGUACCGGAUGAAUAAGGACCGGCUAACUACGUGCCAGCAGCCGCGGUAAUACGUAGGGUCCAAGCGUUAAUCGGAAUUACUGGGCGUAAAGCGUGCGCAGGCGGUUCUGAAAGUCAGCUGUGAAAGCCCCGGGCUUAACCUGGGAAUUGCGGUUGAAACUACAGGGCUAGAAUCUGGCAGAGGGGGUGGAAUUCCACGUGUAGCAGUGAAAUGCGUAGAGAUGUGGAGGAACACCGAUGGCGAAGGCAGCCCCCUGGGCUGAGAUUGACGCUCAGGCACGAAAGCGUGGGGAGCAAACAGGAUUAGAUACCC